GAGCCCGAGACUUGAGUCGGGAUUUGUUUGGCGAGUGAUUGAGAUUUGGUAGUGAGCGAUCGAGGUGCAGACGUUCGUUUUGGUGAUCCUCCAGUAUAGGAUACAUAUUCUGCCACUUGGAUUACUCUUUUUGAUUCGGAGCUCAUAUUUUUGGUACAUAUCUUCUGUUAUAUACACUCUGUAUGUAUGACUAUUUGGGUACGGCGGGGCCUUGUCCCGUCAUAUGUUCUGUUAUGUUUUGUAGAGGCCUGUAGUCAUAUAUGUGGGUCAUGGGUCAUGUUUGUUCGUUUGUGAUUAUGAUUUACGUCUUAAUGCGGCCCCGUUUACUAUUAUGGCCAAAACGGCCCAUUUGUCUGUAUAUGUGUAUAUAUCUGGCGAUGUGUAUCCCGCCAAUCUAUUGGGUUUGGAUAUGAUGUUUCUGUACGGGCGACUGCUUAAGAUGAUAUUUGCUUUCCGUAUUUGCUUAAAAUGACGUAUGUUAAGUUUGAAUGAA
Long non-coding RNA from Lycium barbarum (goji berry), 493 nucleotides. RefSeq lists it as uncharacterized. Lineage: Eukaryota; Viridiplantae; Streptophyta; Magnoliopsida; Solanales; Solanaceae. The record is from RefSeq and is a predicted model, not a curated record. The transcript is spliced from 2 exons.